GGAGACGUGACCGAGAGGCCGAAGGUGCUCCCCUGCUAAGGGAGUAUACGGUGAUGAACUGUAUCAAGGGUUCGAAUCCCUUCGUCUCCGCCA
Molecule: transfer RNA, 93 nt
Filed under: Betaproteobacteria bacterium
Lineage: Bacteria; Pseudomonadati; Pseudomonadota; Betaproteobacteria
Description: tRNA-Ser
Rfam family: tRNA
About the family: Transfer RNA (tRNA) molecules are approximately 80 nucleotides in length.
Source: RNAcentral